AACAAGAGUGUCGUAGUGUUGCAGAUAUCUCGACUGUCUUGGGUGUAAAUUUCUUACUGAAAACAGACAAAUGGUCAUGUAUAGAUUGGUAGCUGAUCCAUCACACAAUUUUGUAAAUUGCUAUUUUUUUUUUUGGGAUCAACUUGCUAUAUCUCUAGGUGUGUGUAAUACUCGCCAUCUUGUCUCAUUGUCAUGUCAUCGUUCUUUUCUCUUGAAGUGGUUUGAACCAAUUAGUUCAUUGCUUAGGUAACUACGAUUUUGAUCACAAUAUGAAAUUGAUCUAUUUUGCCGUCUUCAUACACAUGAGUGAUUUCAUGUUCGAAAUUUUCAGCUUCCUGAAUUUUCUAUCAUUAUUUGUAGGUCCUCCUGCUAAGAAGCCAUGGGGAACUCCUAAAGAAAAACAGUCAUCAGUGAAAAGGGAAGCCAAUGGUUCGAAGAGAGUGCAUCAAAAUGCUAUCCUUCUUAGCAUCGUCAGACACGUGUAGGUCGAGGGCUAAACGAUACGCUGAAACCUUGGCAUCCAUUGCGACUCUUGGGCAUUCCUACAUGCCGCAUUCCCCAUCCAUGAAACACACACUUCAUGCUUUUGAUGAUGAAUGACUUCAUGGAGGAAAUAUCACGUAUGCGGCUGGAGUAUGCUAGCUGUGUUGCCACUAUCCACCAUGAAGAAGAGAAGAUGAUGCUGGAACUGUUAAUCGCCGCUUCACAAGAGCCCAACUAAGGAGAAUGAGCGCUCAACGGUGUGACAAUACGCGCUGAAGAAGUUAUAGUGGUGGUGUUAAGUGUUGUGUUAAAUGAUACUCUCCUUUGAUUCAUAUUAAUUGACUCAACUUUAUCUAGAUAUGGAUGUAGAUAUAUUUGUUAACUAGAUACAUCUAGAUCUUGACAAAGUUGAGUCAAUUAAUAUGAAUCGGAGGGAGUAGAUGAUCAUCUAUCUCUCGUAAGAUGAUCAUCUCUCUAUCAUAAGCUUAGUACUAAGAAUCAGGAAUAUUGUUUAGGCAUGAUGUAUGGAUGUGUUAUCGUGUCUCCUACCUAUGAUUGGAGCAUAGGAAUGAUAUGAAAGCUAAGUAGUGGUGACAUCAA
Lolium perenne is the source of this 1083-nucleotide long non-coding RNA. RefSeq lists it as uncharacterized. The record is from RefSeq and is a predicted model, not a curated record. Lineage: Eukaryota; Viridiplantae; Streptophyta; Magnoliopsida; Poales; Poaceae.